CUGAUAAAUGGAUAUCUGUGGUAAAUCUAGAGCUAAUACAUGCAUAAAAACCUUUUUGUUUUAACAAAUUGGUUAAAUUAUCGUUUCAAAACUAACGGGUUCGCCCUGUUUUGUUAACUCAUGAUAAUUAAUGACCGUUCUUUAAUGAAUGGAUAUUCAUAUUUGGUAUCUGCCCUAUCAACUAUAUGACAGUCUAUUGUACGGUCAUGGUUGUGCCGGGUAACGGAGAAUUAGGGUUCGUCUCCGGAGAGAAUGCCUUAGAAACGGCUUUCACUUCCAAGGAAGGCACCAGGCGCGAAAAUUACCCAUUCUCAGAACGAGGAGGUAGUGACGUGAAAUGACAAGCUUUAAUUCUUACGAAUUGAAGCAUUGGAAUGGUUGAAUUUUAAAAUCAUUCAAGAUUAUCAAUGAGAGGGCAAGUCUGGUGCCAGCAGCCGCGGUAAUUCCAGCUCUCAACUACAUUGAACUGCUGUUGCGGUUAAAAAGUUCGUAGUUGCAAAUGUACAUAUAAAUGUGGUUUAUCAUUUUAUUAUGGUAUAACUGCAUUUUGUGUUAUUUAUAUUUUCUUUACGGAAAAUAUAAUGAUACCCUGAGUAAAGCAAAGUGCUCAGAACAAGCUAUUGCUUGUAUGUUUUUGCUGGGAAUAUCAACGAAUACAUUAGUUGACGUUUGUUGGUUUACAGCUAUGUAUGAUUAAAGGGAUAACGGGGGCAACGUUCGCAGGGGAGAGGGAAAUCGGUGAUCCUGCGAACGGCUAUAGCAAAGCUUGGCAAGAUGUUUCUUUAUCAAAACGAAGUCGAGGUC
RNAcentral lists this ribosomal RNA (804 nucleotides) under Panagrolaimus paetzoldi. RNAcentral describes it as "bacterial SSU rRNA". It matches the Rfam family "Eukaryotic small subunit ribosomal RNA", at positions 132 to 997 of the family's 1831-position model. Lineage: Eukaryota; Metazoa; Nematoda; Chromadorea; Rhabditida; Panagrolaimidae. The record is from RNAcentral.